UACAGAGGGUGCGAGCGUUGUCCGGAAUCACUGGGCGUAAAGGGCGCGUAGGUGGCCUGGUAAGUAGGGGGUGAAAUCUCGUGGCUCAACUGCGAGGCUGCCUCCUAAACUGUCAGGCUCGAGCAGAGUAGAGGCAGGUGGAAUUCCCGGUGUAGCGGUGGAAUGCGUAGAGAUCGGGAAGAACAUCGGUGGCGAAGGCGGCCUGCUGGGCUCUUGCUGACACUGAGGCGCGACAGCGUGGGGAGCAAACAGG
RNAcentral lists this ribosomal RNA (253 nucleotides) under uncultured bacterium. RNAcentral's name for it is "partial 16S ribosomal RNA". It matches the Rfam family "Bacterial small subunit ribosomal RNA", at positions 524 to 776 of the family's 1533-position model. The record is from RNAcentral.